GACGAACGCUGGCGGCGUGCUUAACACGUGCAAGUCGAACGGAAAGGCCCUGCUUUUGUGGGGUGCUCGAGUGGCGAACGGGUGAGUAACACGUGAGUAACCUGCCCUUGACUUUGGGAUAACUUCAGGAAACUGGGGCUAAUACCGGAUAGGAGCUCCUGCUGCAUGGUGGGGGUUGGAAAGUUUCGGCGGUUGGGGAUGGACUCGCGGCUUAUCAGCUUGUUGGUGGGGUAGUGGCUUACCAAGGCUUUGACGGGUAGCCGGCCUGAGAGGGUGACCGGCCACAUUGGGACUGAGAUACGGCCCAGACUCCUACGGGAGGCAGCAGUGAGGAAUAUUGCACAAUGGGCGGAAGCCUGAUGCAGCAACGCCGCGUGCGGGAUGACGGCCUUCGGGUUGUAAACCGCUUUCGCCUGUGACGAAGCGUGAGUGACGGUAAUGGGUAAAGAAGCACCGGCUAACUACGUG
This 468-nucleotide ribosomal RNA is filed under the name uncultured bacterium. RNAcentral's name for it is "partial 16S ribosomal RNA". It matches the Rfam family "Bacterial small subunit ribosomal RNA", at positions 28 to 507 of the family's 1533-position model. The record is from RNAcentral.